UCCGGAGGUCUCAAGCGUUGUUCGGAUUCAUUGGGCGUAAAGGGUGCGUAGGCGGCGCGGUAAGUCGGGUGUGAAAUCUCGGAGCUUAACUCCGAAACUGCAUUCGAUACUGCCGUGCUUGAGGACUGGAGAGGAGACUGGAAUUUACGGUGUAGCGGUGAAAUGCGUAGAUAUCGUAAGGAAGACCAGUGGCGAAGGCGGGUCUCUGGACAGUUCCUGACGCUGAGGCACGAAGGUCAGGGGAGCAAACGGG
RNAcentral lists this ribosomal RNA (253 nucleotides) under uncultured bacterium. RNAcentral's name for it is "partial 16S ribosomal RNA". It matches the Rfam family "Bacterial small subunit ribosomal RNA", at positions 524 to 776 of the family's 1533-position model. The record is from RNAcentral.